UACGGGGGGCGCGAGCGUUGUUCGGAAUCACUGGGCGUAAAGCGCGUGUAGGCGGCCGAGCAAGUCGGAUGUGAAAUCCCGAGGCUCAACCUCGGAACUGCAUUCGAAACUGCUCGGCUCGAGUCCCGGAGAGGAAGGCGGAAUUCCCGGUGUAGGGGUGAAAUCCGUAGAUAUCGGGAGGAACACCAGUGGCGAAGGCGGCCAUCUGGACGGUGACUGACGCUGAGACGCGAAAGCGUGGGGAGCAAACAGG
RNAcentral lists this ribosomal RNA (253 nucleotides) under uncultured bacterium. RNAcentral's name for it is "partial 16S ribosomal RNA". It matches the Rfam family "Bacterial small subunit ribosomal RNA", at positions 524 to 776 of the family's 1533-position model. The record is from RNAcentral.